Columba livia (rock pigeon) is the source of this 4357-nucleotide long non-coding RNA. RefSeq lists it as uncharacterized. Lineage: Eukaryota; Metazoa; Chordata; Aves; Columbiformes; Columbidae. The record is from RefSeq and is a predicted model, not a curated record. The transcript is spliced from 3 exons.
CAGUAGCAGCGAUUGUGUAGUGGUUCUGUUAUUGGUGUGUGUUUGGGAGAAGCUGCUGUGACUUUCUUUAGAUUAUGGUAUAAAGCCUGAGUCUUAACUCACCUGCCUUGAAUUCGCUGUGACCUCAGCAGCGUGUAAUAAUGCCCAGAUGGGAGCCUGUUCCUUGGAAGCUCCAGAAUGGCACAGAAUUUUCCGUGGCUGCACCUUCCUGGUCUCUUUCUUCGUCGCUGCUGUGGCUGUGCUGAGCAGGUCACUGGGAAGCAGCAGUUCUGUGUUAACUUCUUCAGGAGCUUAGAAAGACCAUCCUCUUGCUUCAGAGAAAAAUGCCCUUGAUGAAGUUGGGUGAUUACUUCCCAUCAAGAGAAUGAAUUUGUGCCCACACUCAACAGAUUUCUCCAGCUGGUUAGAAUACCGUUCCAUACAUUCUAGAGAGCUGAAUGAACAAUACAGACUAAUUCAGUUUUUAAUUGCUUAGUCACCUGGCAAAGAAGCAUGAAGAAAUGCUGCUAUUAGUUUCUUAACAACAGGUUAAAGGGUUGAUGAUUGUUCUGAUCAUAUUCAAAUGAAACAAGUAAAAAAGACCCGCUAUUUUAGAAACUUGCAUGUACUUCAUUAUUUAACAACAGGAAAAAAAGUGGAAAAGAUGUAUGGUUUCUGAGUUUGUCUCAUCCUUUCUCAGCUGCAUCUUCCUAUAGGCAUGCCACAGGAAAGUGCACAUAUCUCACAUGGCACAUUAAAACUGAUGGGAUGAAAAAAAUAAAGAUUGAUAUUGAAUGGUCAGGAUCAUAACUGACCCUUCAAUUCUGCUUUGCUUUUAUGUUUAUUGGUACUACAUAAAUCUUGUUCCAUUUCUUUUUAUUAGUUUAAUGCUUUCCACAUUUCCAUUUCCAUUAAAACCACAUUCAGAGCUAUUAGUGGGAUGUUAUUACCCAGUACUGUAUCAAUUAAUGGAGCCAACAUGCAAAGAAGAGGAUGUAAGUCAAUCCUACAUGUGAGACAGUGGCCUUGUAGACUUAUUUUCUUAUUUGCUAAAGCCUUCACAGAGGAGCGAUUUCUUAUGAUGAGCUGAAGUGAUUGAGAAAGAGAAAAUACAUAUUUAGCAGAAUCCUUCAGCUUCGGAAAAGGACCAAUCCCCAUGUUCUUUAUCUUAAUGGACGUUGAAUCAGAUUUUUGUGAUGCAUUCUGGUUUUUACUGUUUUGCCUCCAGGCUUAUUUGACUGCCAACCAAAUAUUGAAGACUUCUAGCAGAUAGUUUGAAGUAAAUUUAGUAUUUUAGAACAGUAGAUAUUUCAGCUUUAAGGGAUUAGGUGGAACAGCUAAUGAAUAUGAAUCAUGAUUAUUCAGUAAGUGGGGCUCAUGACAUUAUUUAGAAAAAUGUAUGCAUGUAUGAUGAAUUUCAAAUCUGAAUAAACAAAUGCUUGGAAAGCUGGGAAAAUAAAGGAAAGAGAAGUGAUUUGCUCAAGAAAUACAAGUGAUAUCCAGAGGUUCAAUGAGCAGUCACUGUUCUUCUGACUGAUACUUUCUUGUGGAUGUUUGCAUCUCUGCCUGUGAAGGCACCAUGUUAUUUAUGCCCAGAAAUUCUGAACUUUCCAAUAUGACUUUAUUUUCCAAUAUAUGCAACUUUGGCUCAAAGGAGAAUUAAACAACUGCCAAUAAACCAAAACUUUUACUUCUGCUACGAACUGAAUAUGAAAGAGCAAAACAAUCUGAGUCAGUGUGUGAAACCAUACUGCUUAUGGCUGUGAUGUCCAUACUUGUCCUUAAAUACGGGGUGAUACUAUUAUCAGUGGAUGUGUAUUAAAGUUUGUUUUUUACUUUGUCCUGAGGUAGAAUUAUUUGAGAUAUAACAGAUGAGUGGUUAUAAGAGUGUUGUGAUUGAAGACCGUAUCUGUUUCCAUUCCUUCUUCAAUAACGUGUUUUUAUUGUUAAAACAAAAGGAGUAGGAGUGAUAAUCUUCUUCCUAUCAGCUCAUAUAAGAGGUGUUUUAAGUAAUAUAGUGAAGAUCUGUUAUUUGCCUGACUUUGGAUCUAAUGAAGAGCUACCGUAUAGUCCAGUGUAACUUUUUGUAGCAUAUUGGCACUAACGCUUCAUAAAAUCUGUUGCAAAUCCCCACCAACCUUUUAAAAUAGAAUUACUUUCAGAUCUGAUAAAAUUCUGUGUUAAGAACUAGAAUUCAGUGUGUUUUGCUUUAAUGUUGUUGAUAGAAAUGAACUCAGAAUGAUUAAUGCUUUCUUACAUUUGCAUGCUCAUUCAUCUGUCUCUGUUUCUAAUAGGUGGGUCUCUGCCUUGUGAGGGUUAUUUUAAGAAACACAAGGCCAAGAUAUUUUACAGAGGUGGGCUGGGCGAAGCAUGGAUCAAUAGUGCACGUUCAGGUAACUUCUGUGCAAGUGAAUUUUGGCCUUGUUCAGAACAGCUCCUGGCUGAGCAAAGCAGCAUGCCAGUAUCCAUCGGUAUUACACUUCACAUCCCCUCAGAGAGCCGGCAUCUGCGUGGCCUCCAUCCUAAUAGUUGUGUGCUGAAUGUGAGAUAAGGUCUCGUGUCCACCAGGAGAUGAAUGAGAGCUGUUUAACUUCAGACAUUUCUAAAUAAUCUAAUGAUUUCCUUUUACUAUGCACAGGAUUGGAUUUGGUUCAGGCCACAGAGCUAGCUCAGCAUUCUGCAUUUAAUACCUGUUUUUUCUUCCUAUGUCUUUCACAUGCAAGUGAGAGGGCCGAGACUUUGUUAUUUACUGAGCUGCACUGCCAGAUUUCAGACUUAUGGCAAGACAUCAUCCAAAAUAGGCAAAAAGUUUUGAUGCAAUAGAUAAGUACUGUGAUAGCACACACAACAUGCAGAGAAAACAACAAAAAUCCCUCCUGCUCGUACCUGUUCUCCUAUAAACUAAGAAUAACUGUAAUGAGUCCACUGGAAUCCUAUCAGUGUAAAGUUAGUGUAAGGAGGAGGAGAAUCAGCUUAUAUGAUCUCAGUGCCUGUUAGUAUUAUGAUUAAAUGCUGGAUAUAUUCCAGCUAUUAGCUUAGGAGUGAUGCAAGUCAGGGUUCAGCAACGAUCAACUGAUGUUCUCUAUAGGAAAAAUCUACAAAUAAUGAACAUUUUUUUUUUUCCUCAUUUUCUGUUUGUUGUUUCUGUGCUUUGCUAGAAGAUUAAACUUUCUCUGUUUAUCUAAGUGUGUAUCUAAGUAUUUCUCAAUGUCAAGCUUUCGCGAUUAUACUGUUAUCCUUCAGCAUGAGUGAAGUAGCAUAUUUUCAUUAAUUAUUUUGCCACAUACAUGUUUUCUUCUUGUAUUGAAACAUCAUAUUUUUUAAUUUUAAGAAAAUGAAUUGAUUUAUUUUCUCCCUGGUUUGUUACAAGUUCUAAGGCUUCAGCUUUUAUAAUGUGACAAAGCACCCUGCUCCAAAACACUCAGAGUGUGUUAAAGACUACUAUGGGGAGACAAAGGAUUACUGUCAAGCUUCAGUUGAUUUCAUCUUGGAUGGUCCACAGAGAUGAACACCUGGAAUAUUUCUUAAACAAAUGCAUGUGGAUGUAGUCAACUUGGCAGUCAUGUAGAGAACAUACUGCAUGUAAUAAAGAAAGCACAUAAUUUAACAUUUUAUGUGAUAUCCAUUUACAAGAUGACAUUACUGGUAAUAAAAGAAAGCCAUUCCUGUUAAAUAAAAAACUAUAUACGUACAGAUACAUUUCUAACCUGGUCAUAUGUCUGUGUGUACAGAUGAAGAUAACCAAAUGUUCUGUAACCAACAGUUAAUUCAAAGCAUGAAUAACCUAAGUUCAGUGCAUGGCACCAAGUAAAAAGAGCAACAAGUCAUUAUUUUUCUUUCCAGAAUAUAGAUAGGAGACACUGAGUUGACAGAAGCAUCCUGCAAGAAUCAAUGAAAGAGAAUUUAAGGUUAACGUUGAUUUACAUUUUCAUGCUCAUUGUCUCUUCAGCCUAAGGACAUUUAGAAAUUGGAAUAAGCUCUGAUUUUCAGCAUCCUCUUUUUUUGCUUAUUUCUGUUGCAAAUGCAGCUUUAUUUCAAUGAUGUAUCACAUACUAUGGGUAGCAUGGAUGAAAAAUACAGUUUUUUUCUAAAUCAUUGCUUGCCUUUUAGGUGCGAGCUCAAAUGUCUUUCUGAUAUCCUGACCCUGAGCUUAUUACUUAGAUCUGCAACAUUUACAAGCCAGGGCAGCCUAAAUCUCUGUCUUACCCCCUCCCAUGGUGGGAUCUGAAUGGAGAAAUAGGUUCAGAAAACUACAAGCCUUGCAGGAUGAUGGAAAACAAACUGCACUAUAAAGAAGAUUAAAGAUUUUCACUGGAAGGCUGGUGUCUAAAAACCAGGUCUGAACCUAUUGGAUCACUUUAUUUAAGCCACUGAACUG